CUCGAAGAUCAGAGGUUUCCGUGCUGCUUACGUCUCCUCGAACUGUGUAUCUGGAGAGGGACAAUAGUAAAAGCACUACCACUGGUGGACAUUGGAGAGGAGAUGAAGCAGAAGCAAUUCUGCUCCUCAGAAUUCCAGGGAUUUAAGUUCUCCUAACGCUCUGGGCCUCUCACCUGGCUGUCCCCCAUCCCGUCUAUAUCUGUAAGUUGAAGGAGAACAUGGUGAACAGAAGAGUUGAUUUGUCCACACUGAUUCAACCCCCACAGCUUUCGUG
Long non-coding RNA from Microtus ochrogaster (prairie vole), 274 nucleotides. RefSeq lists it as uncharacterized. The record is from RefSeq and is a predicted model, not a curated record. NCBI's taxonomy places the organism in Eukaryota, Metazoa, Chordata, Mammalia, Rodentia, Cricetidae. The transcript is spliced from 3 exons.